GAAAACGGUCAAACAGCCAAAAUCAGGCAAUAGGUUAAAUUAGAGAUACUUAAGCAUUGCCAAGGACGGACCUCAAAAUCGUUACUAGUAAUAACUAUCGACAUGUACUAAAUAUUGUUCUCCACCAAUAUGACGUGUUUGCAAACAAAGUAGCUAAAUAAUAGAUUAAAUAUGCACGAAUGUGAAUGUCCUAAAGAGCCAGAUACAAAAAGGUACUGGCCAUGGACAACAUUGCUUUCGCCUGGGACUUCAGCAGAGGAAUCUCCUCUAACUUCUUGGUCGUGGUUUGGACGGCCAUCUGACGCAUCAUCGAGAGACAAGCCUAGGGUUAAUUCUACGCCUGCGGAACCUUCGGGGUCGCCUAGAGUUGGCAAGCACUUCAUGAAAUGGCUGGCUUUGUUACUCGGCGGGUCUACUGCGGCAAUUUUAGCCUAUUUAUACAAACGCAAGAGGAAAGACAACGUUACGAAAGACCAAAAUGUAGAAACAUCAGAUUGGCCACGAAAAAAGAAAAUUAAUCAAUACAGACCGUUCUACAUCUGCGAAUAACGAAUAACUUUCCGGAACAAUUCUGAAACAAACACCCCACGGAUCAGUUGAAGAAAUUUUAAGAACUCUCAAAAUAAAUGAAACCCAAAACCGUGUUACACUAUCGGCAAUUAUAAACUCAAUAAAGGAAGUGGAGUUAUAACAA
Molecule: long non-coding RNA, 694 nt
Organism: Aricia agestis (brown argus)
Lineage: Eukaryota; Metazoa; Arthropoda; Insecta; Lepidoptera; Lycaenidae
Exons: 4
Source: RefSeq, a predicted model, not a curated record